GGUCCUAUAGCUCAGCUGGUUAGAGCACUUGACUCAUAAUCAAGGGGUCCCUGGUUCGAGCCCAGGUGGGACCACCU
Molecule: transfer RNA, 77 nt
Filed under: Ornithobacterium rhinotracheale
Lineage: Bacteria; Pseudomonadati; Bacteroidota; Flavobacteriia; Flavobacteriales; Weeksellaceae
Also listed under: 3 other names
Description: tRNA-Met
Rfam family: tRNA
About the family: Transfer RNA (tRNA) molecules are approximately 80 nucleotides in length. Their secondary structure includes four short double-helical elements and three loops (D, anti-codon, and T loops). Further hydrogen bonds mediate the characteristic L-shaped molecular structure. tRNAs have two regions of fundamental functional importance: the anti-codon, which is responsible for specific mRNA codon recognition, and the 3' end, to which the tRNAs corresponding amino acid is attached (by aminoacyl-tRNA synthetases). tRNAs cope with the degeneracy of the genetic code in two manners: having more than one tRNA (with a specific anti-codon) for a particular amino acid; and 'wobble' base-pairing, i.e. permitting non-standard base-pairing at the 3rd anti-codon position.
Source: RNAcentral